This 374-nucleotide ribosomal RNA is filed under the name uncultured bacterium. RNAcentral's name for it is "bacterial SSU rRNA". It matches the Rfam family "Bacterial small subunit ribosomal RNA", at positions 521 to 895 of the family's 1533-position model. The record is from RNAcentral.
UAAGACGAACCGUGCGAACGUUAUUCGGAAUCACUGGGCUUAAAGGGCGCGUAGGCGGGCCCGCACGUCAGGGGUGAAAUCCCACGGCCCAACCGUGGAAGUGCCCCUGAUACGGCGGGCCUCGAGGGAGGUAGGGGCGUGCGGAACUCAGGGUGGAGCGGUGAAAUGCGUAGAUAUCCUGAGGAACACCGGUGGCGAAAGCGGCGCGCUGGACCUCUUCUGACGCUGAGGCGCGAAAGCCAGGGGAGCGAACGGGAUUAGAUACCCCGGUAGUCCUGGCCCUAAACGUUGGGUACUAGGUAGCGGCCUGUCAUGGGGUCGCUGCCGGAGCAAAAGUGUUAAGUACCCCGCCUGGGGAGUAUGGUCGCAAGGCU